This 465-nucleotide ribosomal RNA is filed under the name uncultured bacterium. RNAcentral's name for it is "bacterial SSU rRNA". It matches the Rfam family "Bacterial small subunit ribosomal RNA", at positions 917 to 1382 of the family's 1533-position model. The record is from RNAcentral.
GGGCCCGCACAAGCGGAGGAACAUGUGGUUUAAUUCGAUGAUACGCGAGGAACCUUACCUGGGCUUAAAUGUAUAGUGCAUAAUGUGGAAACACAUUUUUCCUUCGGGACUCUUUACAAGGUGCUGCAUGGUUGUCGUCAGCUCGUGCCGUGAGGUGUCGGGUUAAGUCCCAUAACGAGCGCAACCCUCAUCGUUAGUUGCCAACACGUGAAGGUGGGGACUCUAGCGAGACUGCCGGUGUAAACCGUGAGGAAGGUGGGGAUGACGUCAAAUCAGCACGGCCCUUAUGUCCAGGGCUACACACGUGUUACAAUGGCCAAUACAAAGGGCAGCCACCUGGUGACAGGGCGCUAAUCCUCAAAGUUGGUCUUAGUUCGGAUCGGAGUCUGCAACUCGACUCCGUGAAGCUGGAUUCGCUAGUAAUCGUAGAUCAGCCAUGCUACGGUGAAUACGUUCCCGGGCCUU